Molecule: ribosomal RNA, 459 nt
Filed under: uncultured bacterium
Lineage: Bacteria
Description: partial 16S ribosomal RNA
Rfam family: Bacterial small subunit ribosomal RNA
Source: RNAcentral
CCUACGGGAGGCAGCAGUGAGGAAUAUUGGUCAAUGGACGAGAGUCUGAACCAGCCAAGUAGCGUGAAGGAUGACUGCCCUAUGGGUUGUAAACUUCUUUUAUAUGGGAAUAAAAUGUUCCACGUGUGGGAUUUUGUAUGUACCAUAUGAAUAAGGAUCGGCUAACUCCGUGCCAGCAGCCGCGGUAAUCCGGAGGAUCCGAGCGUUAUCCGGAUUUAUUGGGUUUAAGGGGUGCGUAGGCGGACUGUUAAGUCAGCGGUAAAAGCCCGGGGCUAAACCCAGGCGAGCAGUUGAAACUGGCUGUCUUGAGAAGACGAGAGGUGUGCGGAAUGCGCAGUGUAGCGGUGAAAUGCUUAGAUAUUGCGAAGAACUCCGAUUGCGAAGGCAGCAUACCGGAGGCGAUCUGACGCUGAGGCACGAAAGCGUGGGUAUCGAACAGGAUUAGAUACCCGUGUAGUC